Brassica oleracea var. oleracea is the source of this 1285-nucleotide RNA transcript. It is a transcript of the gene named cold shock domain-containing protein 3-like, with no coding region annotated. The record is from RefSeq and is a predicted model, not a curated record. The transcript is spliced from 2 exons. Lineage: Eukaryota; Viridiplantae; Streptophyta; Magnoliopsida; Brassicales; Brassicaceae.
GUUCUUAAAAAAAAAGGCAAAAAAAUAAAUGAAAAAAAAAGAAAUUAGACAGAACAACUGUCUAAAUUAGGAGUUUUAGAACAGCUAAAAACCCCAUAUGUGGCAGUUUGAUAUAGGCUAAUCUUUAGGCAAAAGGAGAAAAAAAAUCAAAUCUUUUGCGUUGAGUUUGUGUGUUGAUUUUAAGCAAAAACGUUCGCGGGAUCUUUGGAGGUGUGACCUGAGAUCACGAAACAAACAAUCUCUACUCGACUCAUUCAUCACACACCAUGUGGAGAAGAAUCGUAUCCUCUCAUCUCAAAGUCCGAUGUCGCCGCUGCUUCUCCUCGCCGAUCCAUAGCCACCACCACCGCGAGACCCGUUGGCUUCCAUCGCGCAGCCAAUCCCGCUUCGUCUUCUUCCGUCAUCCAUCGCUGUUUCAGCUCUGAAUCAGGUGGUAUAUCGUUGCUAUAGUGUCUACGUUUUCAGAUCUCGCCUUUGUGAUUAUGUUUAUGCUGGAUUAGAUGCAAUUAUCGCCGUAUUAUCUUAUCAAUCGUUUCACCACUGUUCUUGCUUACGCCGUUGUUACUGCAAGUUUCUGUUAUUCUAUCGAUUUUGUUGUUCUCUUUUACCAUUGAAUCUGUGCAAGAGUUAUUACCCUUUUACUUUGCAGUGGAGACAAUAGCGAAGAAGAAGGUGGAGGAUGUUAUGCCCAUUGCAACUGGACACGAGAAGGAGGAGCUUGAAGCUGAACUUGAGUGACUAUCUGUUCAAGCUUUCGCUUAUUGGUGACUCUGGUGUUAGAAAAUCCUGCUUGCACGUGUGGUGAUGUAGGUCAUUUCGCAACAGGGCAAACGGCGGCGGAUACGUCGGAGGUGGAGGUGGAGGUGGCGGUGGAAACACUUGCUAUACCUGUGGCGGAGUUGGACACAUGGCUAGAGUUUGCACAAGCAAGAGACAGUCUGGUGGUGGUGGUGGUGGUGCUUGUUAUGAGUGUGGAGGCAUUGGUCAUUUGGCACGUGACUGUGAUCGUAGAGGAAGAGUAGGCGGUGGCGGCGGUGGUGGAGGAAAGUGUUUCACAUGCGGCGAGGAAGGUCACUUUGCGAGGGACUGCUAUUCGCUUGCUUAACAAAGAAAAAGAAGAGUGAUGUUCAUAAACUUCUUUGUUUUCUAUUGGUUUUCUGAUGUUUACUAUUUAAAUGGUGACUAUAAUGUGAUAGCUAGAGUUGUUUCUGUUGAUGUUUUGGAAUGUUUAUUGAGAGUUUAUGAUCUCUAUAUUGCUCGUAUAUGACAGGUUCUUGCAUACCUA